GCGGCGGCGGCGGCCAUGGCCGGGGGGCGGCGGGGGCCGGGAGCGCUGGCGGAGCCGCGGCGGCUGAUGCGCUCGGGCCUGGGGCUGAUCGUGCUGGGCCACGGCAGCCUCGUGCUGGGCGCCAUCGUGCACGGCUCGGUCCUGCGGCACGUGGCCGGCGCCCGCCGCGUUGUCACGCCCGAAUACGCGGCGGCCAACGUGGUGUCGGUGUGCUCGGGGCUGCUGAGCAUCGCCGCGGGCAUCGUCGCCAUCCUGGUGUCGCACAACCUGUCCCGGGCGGCUCUGCACUGGACCCUGCUGAGCAUCUCUGUGCUGAGCUGCCUCCUCUCCACCGCCUGCAGCGCGGGGCUGGCUCUGGCCGUCGCGCUCACGGUGCACGGCCGGGGCACGCACCUGGUCAGGGGCUGCAACAGCUCCGCGCUGCCUCUGGAUGCCCGGGCAGCCAUCGCGACCAACGACUGUCCCUUCAACACCACGCGCAUCUAUGACACAGCCCUGGCACUCUGGUUUCCCUCCCUGCUGCUGGCAGCUGCAGAAGCCGUGCUCUCAGGCCGGUGCUGUUUAGUGGCUCUCGUUUUCCAGGGCGUCGGGCCCUGUGCACGCAGCUAUGGCAAAGAGCAGGUACGCCCCACUGAGCUGGAUGGAUCUCUCUGUGUCUCCUCCAUGAUUGCUGCCUUUGUGCUGCAUUUGGAAGGUGCUGGGUUCUGCUGGGAACAAGGAGGCUGUGCAGUAGUUGGGGAGGAUGCUGAGUUGGAACCUCUUCUAACCAGCCUAAGGGCCAGACCAGCAUCUCUUCAUGGGGAGUUGCAGAGGGAUCCUCUUCUUCAUCCCCCUGAUGGCCAGGCCAAGUACAGCAAUGGAGAAGCCACUCCGUGAGAGGCAGCAGCUCCUGGCAGGACUUGCUGAGUCUCCUGUGUAGCUGGAGAGGUGCUGCUGCAGGAGUGCUGUGAUCCAGCAAGGUCGGGGAAAAGGCGAUUCACACCUUCUGCAGUGCUGGUGUGCAUAAAGCGGUCUGCAGGGGUGAGGGCUGUGCCUUCCUCCCUCCCCCCAGCUCCACCACCCCAGCUGGGACAGACCCUGCAGGUCAGCAGGUGCCGUGGGCCCCAGAUGCUCUCCCAUCUCUCCCCAGGCUGCCAGGCCCUUCCUGCUGUGCUGAAGGCUCCGCUGGUUCCUGGCAGCAGUGAUGGGGUGGGCAGAGGUGCUGGGACCCAAGUCCUGGUGCCAUUGCAGGCAUGGCAGCUGGCUGUGCCUGUGCUCAGACAUCUCAGGGAACAGAAGGGGAAGAAUCCCUUUUGUGUGGAUCUCAAAUUUUCUUCAAUAAAUAAACUUUUCUUUUCCACA
RNA transcript from Parus major (Great Tit), 1341 nucleotides. It is a transcript of the gene named keratinocyte associated protein 3, with no coding region annotated. Lineage: Eukaryota; Metazoa; Chordata; Aves; Passeriformes; Paridae. The transcript has 6 exons. The record is from RefSeq and is a predicted model, not a curated record.